RNAcentral lists this non-coding RNA (72 nucleotides) under Moniliophthora perniciosa FA553. Lineage: Eukaryota; Fungi; Basidiomycota; Agaricomycetes; Agaricales; Marasmiaceae. The record is from RNAcentral.
CCCUUGUAAGCGUCCGGCCUCUACGUGGCACAAGGGACAAGUACCUAUUUCUAGUAGGGAAACCAACGGACG